GGAUUGUGGCUCAGUGGUAGAGUGUUUGCCUAGAAUGUGUGAGGCACUGAGUUUGAUCCUUAGCGCCA
Molecule: transfer RNA, 68 nt
Filed under: Marmota monax (woodchuck)
Lineage: Eukaryota; Metazoa; Chordata; Mammalia; Rodentia; Sciuridae
Description: tRNA.Ser
Source: RNAcentral